This 1372-nucleotide ribosomal RNA is filed under the name uncultured bacterium. RNAcentral's name for it is "bacterial SSU rRNA". It matches the Rfam family "Bacterial small subunit ribosomal RNA", at positions 28 to 1381 of the family's 1533-position model. The record is from RNAcentral.
GAUGAACGCUGGCGGCGUGCCUAAUACAUGCAAGUCGAGCGAACGGACGAGAAGCUUGCUUCUCUGAUGUUAGCGGCGGACGGGUGAGUAACACGUGGAUAACCUACCUAUAAGACUGGGAUAACUUCGGGAAACCGGAGCUAAUACCGGAUAAUAUUUUGAACCGCAUGGUUCAAAAGUGAAAGACGGUCUUGCUGUCACUUAUAGAUGGAUCCGCGCUGCAUUAGCUAGUUGGUAAGGUAACGGCUUACCAAGGCAACGAUGCAUAGCCGACCUGAGAGGGUGAUCGGCCACACUGGAACUGAGACACGGUCCAGACCCCUACGGGAGGCAGCAGUAGGGAAUCUUCCGCAAUGGGCGAAAGCCUGACGGAGCAACGCCGCGUGAGUGAUGAAGGUCUUCGGAUCGUAAAACUCUGUUAUUAGGGAAGAACAUAUGUGUAAGUAACUGUGCACAUCUUGACGGUACCUAAUCAGAAAGCCACGGCUAACUACGUGCCAGCAGCCGCGGUAAUACGUAGGUGGCAAGCGUUAUCCGGAAUUAUUGGGCGUAAAGCGCGCGUAGGCGGUUUUUUAAGUCUGAUGUGAAAGCCCACGGCUCAACCUUGGAGGGUCAUUGGAAACUGGAAAACUUGAAUGCAGAAGAGGAAAGUGGAAUUCCAUGUGUAGCGGUGAAAUGCGCAGAGAUAUGGAGGAACACCAGUGGCGAAGGCGACUUUCUGGUCUGUAACUGACGCUGAUGUGCGAAAGCGUGGGGAUCAAACAGGAUUAGAUACCCUGGUAGUCCACGCCGUAAACGAUGAGUGCUAAGUGUUAGGGGGUUUCCGCCCCUUAGUGCUGCAGCUAACGCAUUAAGCACUCCGCCUGGGGAGUACGACCGCAAGGUUGAAACUCAAAGGAAUUGACGGGGACCCGCACAAGCGGUGGAGCAUGUGGUUUAAUUCGAAGCAACGCGAAGAACCUUACCAAAUCUUGACAUCCUUUGACAACUCUAGAGAUAGAGCCUUCCCCUUCGGGGGACAAAGUGACAGGUGGUGCAUGGUUGUCGUCAGCUCGUGUCGUGAGAUGUUGGGUUAAGUCCCGCAACGAGCGCAACCCUUAAGCUUAGUUGCCAUCAUUAAGUUGGGCACUCUAAGUUGACUGCCGGUGACAAACCGGAGGAAGGUGGGGAUGACGUCAAAUCAUCAUGCCCCUUGUGAUUUGGGCUACACACGUGCUACAAUGGACAAUACAAAGGGCAGCGAAACCGUGAGGUCAAGCAAAUCCCAUAAAGUUGUUCUCAGUUCGGAUUGUAGUCUGCAACUCGACUACAUGAAGCUGGAAUCGCUAGUAAUCGUAGAUCAGCAUGCUACGGUGAAUACGUUCCCGGGUCU